CUCCAACUGUCAGAAGGAGAAGAAAAACUAUGGAUACCCUCAAAAUCAAUAAAGAUUCAGUAGGAAAAGGAAAAACUGCUUGAGAAAGAAAAAUGACAGCUCAUCCCUAGAGUUGACAACCAUACAGAUGUAAUCUUUGAAGCUUCCAGGAAGAAGAUGUAGCCCCACAACAAUGACUCCACCUGGUUGAUAUGACGUCAUGAUGCUGACAGCGCUACUAUGAGACCAGUUUUUGGAUACCAACUGUAAAAAUGAUGCACCUUCUUACAAUAUUCUGGCCAGAACUCCACAUAAGAACUUCAUAAUAAUAAAUCUAUCGACUAUUCAGAGACCAUUUUGCAAUUAUACAAAACAGCAACAGAGCAAUCUUGAAAUUUAACCAUCAUUUGGCAUUUGGUGUGGGAUAAUUCUGUAUUCUGUCAAUUAUGUUUUAAAUAAAUGCUGAUUGGCCAGUAGCCAGGCAGGAAGUAUAGGCGAGACAACCAGACAGGAAGUAGAGACAGGGAAAUGAGAACAGGAGAAUUCAGGGAAAAGGAAAGUCCAUUCCUCUGCAUUCCUGUCCGACCACAGAAGGAGCAAGAUGUGACUAUACUGCUGAAGAAGGUACUGAACCAUGUGGCUAACACAGAUAAGAAUAAUGGGCAAAUGUAAGUUAUAAGAGUUAAUAAGAAGCCUGAGCUAAUGGACCAAUCAGUUUAU
Microtus oregoni (creeping vole) is the source of this 699-nucleotide long non-coding RNA. RefSeq lists it as uncharacterized. The record is from RefSeq and is a predicted model, not a curated record. The transcript is spliced from 3 exons. NCBI's taxonomy places the organism in Eukaryota, Metazoa, Chordata, Mammalia, Rodentia, Cricetidae.